GAAAUUGAAUCAAAUCAACAGAGCAAGCUUAUGUUAGCCAACCCAGUUGAGAACUUAACUAUCAUUGUUGAUGCAGAUGAUGACUUACUUAAAGUUGGUACAGGCAUUUGCUCUUCAACACCUAAAAUUGUUGAACCCCAGCAACAUAAUUGUACCUCUGUAACAGAAGAUCAUCUGAUAAUCCCUAAAGAAGCUGACAAUGUUUGUGGGCAGCAUUAUCCUAUCACUGAGAAAAUCUACCGUUCACACAUGUGGCAAAGAGAGCAAUCAAAAGAAGAAUGGUGCAGGAUGCAUUGGACAGUAAUGCUUGAGUAUGGUACAUCAGGGGGCUGUCAGCUACAACCUUGAUGGAAUACCUCCAUCGAUCUAAGGGAUAUUAUAGCAGAAAUUGAUCUUCACCCGGGAAUACACGACCUACUGGCACAUUUGAUCACCAUCCAUUAUAGGAGAAUUCUCAACCAAAUCUGCUUAUUGUAGUUUCUUUGUCGGGGGCUCGGGGCUGUUGAUUUUGACCCAUGGAAAGAAAUCUAGAAGUUUUGGACUGCACCUCCAAUGCAAGUUUUUCAUUUGGUUAGCUGCUCUAAAUCAGUGUUGGACUGCAGUCAGGUUAGCUCACUGGGGAC
Molecule: unclassified non-coding RNA, 623 nt
Filed under: Zea mays
Lineage: Eukaryota; Viridiplantae; Streptophyta; Magnoliopsida; Poales; Poaceae
Description: misc RNA Zm00001eb237070
Source: RNAcentral